Molecule: ribosomal RNA, 404 nt
Filed under: Verrucomicrobiota bacterium
Lineage: Bacteria; Pseudomonadati; Verrucomicrobiota
Description: Verrucomicrobia bacterium partial 16S ribosomal RNA
Rfam family: Bacterial small subunit ribosomal RNA
Source: RNAcentral
UGGGGAAUAUUGGACAAUGGGCGCAAGCCUGAUCCAGCCAUGCCGCGUGAGUGAUGAAGGCCCUAGGGUUGUAAAGCUCUUUCACCGGUGAAGAUAAUGACGGUAACCGGAGAAGAAGCCCCGGCUAACUUCGUGCCAGCAGCCGCGGUAAUACGAAGGGGGCUAGCGUUGUUCGGAUUUACUGGGCGUAAAGCGCACGUAGGCGGACUAUUAAGUCAGGGGUGAAAUCCCGGGGCUCAACCCCGGAACUGCCUUUGAUACUGGUAGUCUUGAGUUCGAGAGAGGUGAGUGGAAUUCCGAGUGUAGAGGUGAAAUUCGUAGAUAUUAGGAGGAAUACCGGUGGCGAAGGCGACUUUCUGGACUUUUACUGACGCUCAGGUACGAAAGCGUGGGGAGCAAACAGG